RNAcentral lists this long non-coding RNA (588 nucleotides) under Daucus carota (carrot). RNAcentral's name for it is "long non-coding RNA (DCAR_LNC005578)". Lineage: Eukaryota; Viridiplantae; Streptophyta; Magnoliopsida; Apiales; Apiaceae. The record is from RNAcentral.
CCCCUGUUAUCACUUUUUUUAAAAUCAAUUCACUUUCCCCUGUUCUUUACUACAAAUCCAGUCGACCCCCUCCCCUUUAUUCUUGAUUACGUUUGCUGUUUUCGCUGAGUUCACGCACUGAGUCACCGAGUCAGGCACUGCUUCACCAUCUUCUUUAGAUUAUAGUCCAGUCUUUGGUUAAAUUGUGGGUUAUGGCAUCUGCUCUGUUUUGUUUUGUUAAUUCCACCCAUUUUCCGAGUUGUAGUCAUAGUGUUGGUAUUGAGUCGAGUCAGUCAUGAGUAAUGAGUCUGCUGAGUUAUGUUGGUUUAGUUUGAAUUUGCUCUGUUGGGUUUGGCUUCUAAGUUCGAUUCACAGCUUUGUUUUCAAGUAGCGAUUUGUUUUGUUUUUAAUGUUUUCAAAUCGAGUGUUAAGAUGUUGAGUUUAGGCUUCAUUUUGUUUAGUAUUGAGUUUUCCAUCCGGGUCUUUGGCUGAGUUCUGUUUUUUUGUUGCAACCGAGUUCUAGUUUCCUGUGUAAUUUGUUCGAGUUACUUUCUUUGUGCUGCUUGUUAAAUCGAGUUGCUGCGUUCUGUUUGUUUGACGCGUUUCUGA